RNAcentral lists this ribosomal RNA (497 nucleotides) under uncultured bacterium. RNAcentral's name for it is "partial 16S ribosomal RNA". It matches the Rfam family "Bacterial small subunit ribosomal RNA", at positions 28 to 507 of the family's 1533-position model. The record is from RNAcentral.
GAUGAACGCUGGCGGCGUGCCUAAUACAUGCAAGUCGAGCGAACGGACGAGAAGCUUGCUUCUCUGAUGUUAGCGGCGGACGGGUGAGUAACACGUGGAUAACCUACCUAUAAGACUGGGAUAACUUCGGGAAACCGGAGCUAAUACCGGCUGAUAUUUUGAACCGCAUGGUUCAAAAGUGAAAGACGGUCUUGCUGUCACUUAUAGAUGGAUCCGCGCUGCAUUAGCUAGUUGGUAAGGUAACGGCUUACCAAGGCGACGAUGCAUAGCCGACCUGAGAGGGUGAUCGGCCACACUGGAACUGAGACACGGUCCAGACUCCUACGGGAGGCAGCAGUAGGGAAUCUUGCGCAAUGGGCGAAAGCCUGACGGAGCAACGCCGCGUGAGUGAUGAAGGUCUUCGGAUCGUAAAGCUCUGUUAUUAGGGAAGAACAUAUGUGUAAGUAUCUGUGCACAUCUUGACGGUACCUAAUCAGAAAGCCACGGCUAACUACGUG